Molecule: long non-coding RNA, 2224 nt
Organism: Papaver somniferum (opium poppy)
Lineage: Eukaryota; Viridiplantae; Streptophyta; Magnoliopsida; Ranunculales; Papaveraceae
Exons: 6
Source: RefSeq, a predicted model, not a curated record
AUCUCAGUUUCGAAGUAAUUUGUUGACGAAUCGUUCAAAUGAAAACUUACGCUCUUCACACUAUCCUGCAGAUUUCCUAUUGAAAACCUACGUUUCAACCCUAACCCUAGAUUUACUCGAACAGAUUUAAGGUUCCUGCUGCAGAAAUUGAAAUUUAGGGUUUGAGGUUAUGUUUUGAGAUGAACCGCUGCUUUGCUGCAAGAAUCGAGAUUGAAUGGGUUGCGGAGAAUGAUGUUGGUGGUUGGAUUUGAGAUUGAAAUUUAGGGUUUGAGAUUUGUGGAGAUCGAAAGUUAGGGUUGGAUUUGAGAUUGAAAAUUAGGGUGGAAAAGAUAAAAAUUGAAAGUUAGGGUUUGAGAUUUGUGGAGUUUGAAAGUUAGGGUUGGGUUUGAGUUUGAAAGUUGUGUGGAAAAGAUAAAAAUAUAAAGUUCGGAUUGGAUUCGAGAUUCUGAGAUUGAAUGGGUUUGCAUAGACUAAUAUUGGUGGUUGGAUUUGUAGAGUUUGAAGCUGCUUUAACUAGAUUGUGCAGAUGAUAAAGUGGUGCUGUCAUGUGAGAAUUGAAGCCUAUGCUGAGGAACUGAAGAUGGCAUUGCUGCUUGGUGUCGGUGCUACUACUAAGUGGUGGUUGUGCAAUGGUUAGGACUGAUUUAGGAGACAAGGAAUGAGAAUAUUCAGAAAUGCAAGUGGUGUUGUUGCUGGGAUUGCAAUGGUUGCACUGGAGUUGGAGAUGGCUGGCGUUUGUAGAGCAAUGCUUUGCAGGAAAUGUGUUGUGAAACAGUUGAGUGUUGGAAAUGGUUAGCUUGUAGAAUGUUGCCAUUGUUACUGCUUGUCUUUCUCUCCCCGUUGAAAAGGUGAUCCUCUUCAAACACCAAGUACACAUCCUAUACCUCCUCCAAUGCUAAGUGUAUGAGGUGAUUUCUGUAUUGCAGCUGCUCUACCGACAGGUAACUCAUGUUGCACUUGUAUUUGAAGUUCACAUGGGUUGGAUUAACGAGAACGAUGCCAUGGCUGCUACUGUACUUCAGGUGAAGAAAUUAAGAGAGGAGCUCAAUACAACCAGGGAAAACACACCUCUGGGCACCGGGAAAACUGCACAUCAAGGUGUUUGCUUAAAAGCCUGAAAGAAUAGAAAAAGAGUUUUGGCAUAAGCUUUAGAUCAGAGUUGGGGCUAUCGUGACUGCAUGCUGCUAGAUUCUAAGGCAAGUUUGUUUUGUCUUUGUAUCGGAGAAGGCUUAAUUAUAAUUUAAAAUUGGGUUUUGUAGCUAAUUCAUAUUCCUAAGGUUUAUCAUAGAAAUAAGCUCCUAGUUUCCGUGCAGUAUAUGGAUGUUUAAUCAUUGUUGGCAUUGUGGAAAUCUUGUGACUAACCUAUAACAUCACAAGAGGUGACUGAGGUCAGUGAUUAACCUAUUUCUGUCAUAUAUUAUUAUCAUGCUCUGUUUUUCUUGUGAUCAAUAUUGUGGAAGUUGCUGCCAGAUGGGGUCUUAGUGUGUUUAAUGAUUGGUUGCACUUAGUUUUCUCUAUACGUUUGCUGAGAUGCAAAGACUACUCAAUUCUUGACCACCAUAUUAUGUUUAUUUGUCCACUUUUUAGUAGAUUAGUUAUUUUUUUUAUGUAUCCAUCUUUAUAUUUUUAGUUUAGCGAGAAUGGAGAAUUGUUGCUCAAAAGUGAGGCUUCAUUAACGGAAAAGCAUGCAUACUACUAAUUACAUCAUAACCACAGUCUUUUGCUCCCUGGAUAUAGAUGCUCUUAAGUGCACGUUGGAGGAAUGGUGGAUUCAUAAAAUGCUCGGCAUUAUUUCAGCGUGGAGUAUGUUAAAGAAUUUUCCCGGACUAGGACAUGUUUUAAGAUUGGAUCUACUCGUUUUAUCGACUUAUUUCAGAUAGAUGCUGCCUGUAAUAAUCUAAAUGUGGCGUUGUGAUAGGCUCUGUAACGGGUGGCAUGAAGUGGUUGUCGAGAAGUUGCUGACUUUGCAACUUAUGCAUUUGGGCCAACUAUUGUGGUCACUCCUUUUGGUGCACUCAGCAUUAUUAUCAGGCACGAAACAAGUUCAUUCCCCAAGUUGUGUGCUCUUUCCUCUUCAGUUUUUGGGCUAAGUGUCAUAUUUUUUUGCACUGCCGCAUUUGCAAAACAUAGAAAUAUCUUAUGGAAAAGAAGUCCUUUUCAUUUCUAGUUUUAUUUUUUUGUUCAACAAUUUUCGUAAAGUACAUUGUUUAGCUAAAUUUGGUUC